This 375-nucleotide RNase P RNA is filed under the name Bifidobacterium longum subsp. longum. RNAcentral's name for it is "RNase P RNA component class A". It matches the Rfam family "Bacterial RNase P class A". From Rfam's summary of the family: Ribonuclease P (RNase P) is a ubiquitous endoribonuclease, found in archaea, bacteria and eukarya as well as chloroplasts and mitochondria. Its best characterised activity is the generation of mature 5'-ends of tRNAs by cleaving the 5'-leader elements of precursor-tRNAs. Cellular RNase Ps are ribonucleoproteins. RNAcentral also lists the same sequence under 1 other name. Lineage: Bacteria; Bacillati; Actinomycetota; Actinomycetes; Bifidobacteriales; Bifidobacteriaceae. The record is from RNAcentral.
UGAGACCUCUUGAUGGCCGCGGCCGUGAUCUUCAUUGGGAUCGGCUGAGGAACUUCCGGGCUCCAUAGAACACGAUGGCGGAUAACGUCCGCCCAGGGUGACCUGAGAGAUAGCGCAACAGAGAACAGACCGCCCGUCCUCGACGGGUAAGGGUGAAACGGCGGUGUAAGAGACCACCGGGCCUCUGGUAACAGUAGGUCGCAUGGCAAGCCUCAUCGGGAGCAAGGCCAAGCAGAUGGCGGUAAGGGCUGCUCGCCCGUGUCAUCGGGUAGGCUGCUAGAGCCUGGCGGUAACGUCAGGUCGAGAUGGAUGGCCAUCCGUGCCGUGCGUUCGCGCACGGCACGACAGAACCCGGGGUAUAAGAGGUCUCAUUUU